RNAcentral lists this unclassified non-coding RNA (225 nucleotides) under Hevea brasiliensis (rubber tree). Lineage: Eukaryota; Viridiplantae; Streptophyta; Magnoliopsida; Malpighiales; Euphorbiaceae. The record is from RNAcentral.
UGAAAGCCCAAAAUCAGCAACUUUAGCAACAAGCUCUUCAUCAAGCAAGAUGUUAGUGGACUUAACGUCACGGUGAAUAAAUCCUCCAGCGGCACCCCUAUGGAGAUAGUGAAGGCCCUUUGCUGCACCAAUGCAAAUUUCAAGCCUUUGCGUCCAGGAUAAGGAAGGCAGAGCUAAGUUAUACAGGUGAUCCCUCAGUGCACCCUUUUCCAUGAAUUCAUAAAC